This 75-nucleotide transfer RNA is filed under the name Bacteroidales bacterium. Its description in RNAcentral is "tRNA-Val". It matches the Rfam family "tRNA". Rfam says of the family: Transfer RNA (tRNA) molecules are approximately 80 nucleotides in length. Lineage: Bacteria; Pseudomonadati; Bacteroidota; Bacteroidia; Bacteroidales. The record is from RNAcentral.
GAGCUGUUAGCUCAGCUGGUUUAGAGCACUACCUUGACAGGGUAGGGGUCACUGGUUCGAAUCCAGUACAGCUCA